Molecule: ribosomal RNA, 1454 nt
Filed under: metagenome
Description: bacterial SSU rRNA
Rfam family: Bacterial small subunit ribosomal RNA
Source: RNAcentral
AGAGUUUGAUCAUGGCUCAGGAUGAACGCUGGCGGCGUGCAUAACACAUGCAAGUCGAGCGAUUCUCUUCGGAGAAGAGCGGCGGACGGGUGAGUAACGCGUGGGUAACCUGCCCUGUACACACGGAUAACAUACCGAAAGGUAUGCUAAUACGAGAUAAUAUGCUUUUAUCGCAUGGUAGAAGUAUCAAAGCUCCGGCGGUACAGGAUGGACCCGCGUCUGAUUAGCUAGUUGGUAAGGUAACGGCUUACCAAGGCGACGAUCAGUAGCCGACCUGAGAGGGUGAUCGGCCACAUUGGAACUGAGACACGGUCCAAACUCCUACGGGAGGCAGCAGUGGGGAAUAUUGCACAAUGGGCGAAAGCCUGAUGCAGCAACGCCGCGUGAGCGAUGAAGGCCUUCGGGUCGUAAAGCUCUGUCCUCAAGGAAGAUAAUGACGGUACUUGAGGAGGAAGCCCCGGCUAACUACGUGCCAGCAGCCGCGGUAAUACGUAGGGGGCUAGCGUUAUCCGGAAUUACUGGGCGUAAAGGGUGCGUAGGUGGUUUCUUAAGUCAGAGGUGAAAGGCUACGGCUCAACCGUAGUAAGCCUUUGAAACUGGGAAACUUGAGUGCAGGAGAGGAGAGUGGAAUUCCCAGUGUAGCGGUGAAAUGCGUAGAUAUUAGGAGGAACACCAGUUGCGAAGGCGGCUCUCUGGACUGUAACUGACACUGAGGCACGAAAGCGUGGGGAGCAAACAGGAUUAGAUACCCUGGUAGUCCACACCGUAAACGAUGAUUACUAGGUGUUGGAGGAUUGACCCUUUCAGUGCCGCAGUUAACACAAUAAGUAAUCCACCUGGGGAGUACGACCGCAAGGUUGAAACUCAAAGGAAUUGACGGGGGCCCGCACAAGCAGUGGAGUAUGUGGUUUAAUUCGACGCAACGCGAAGAACCUUACCAAGUCUUGGCAUCCUGCGACGAUGCUAGAAAUAGUAUUUUCCUUCGGGACGCAGAGACAGGUGGUGCAUGGUUGUCGUCAGCUCGUGUCGUGAGAUGUUAGGUUAAGUCCCGCAACGAGCGCAACCCUUAUGGUCAGUUACUACGCAAGAGGACUCUGGCCAGACUGCCGUUGACAAAACGGAGGAAGGUGGGGAUGACGUCAAAUCAUCAUGCCCUUUAUGACUUGGGCUACACACGUACUACAAUGGCGUUAAACAAAGAGAAGCAAGACCGCGAGGUGGAGCAAAACUCAGAAACAACGUCCCAGUUCGGACUGCAGGCUGCAACUCGCCUGCACGAAGUCGGAAUUGCUAGUAAUCGCAGAUCAGCAUGCUGCGGUGAAUACGUUCCCGGGCCUUGUACACACCGCCCGUCACACCAUGAGAGCCGGGGGGACCCGAAGUCGGUAGUCUAACCGCAAGGAGGACGUCGCCGAAGGUAAAACUGGUGAUUGGGGUGAAGUCGUAACAAGGUA